GUCGGGAUAGCUCAGUUGGUAGAGCAGAGAACGGAAAAUC
RNAcentral lists this transfer RNA (40 nucleotides) under Stawellia dimorphantha. RNAcentral describes it as "partial tRNA-Phe". Lineage: Eukaryota; Viridiplantae; Streptophyta; Magnoliopsida; Asparagales; Asphodelaceae. The record is from RNAcentral.